Molecule: ribosomal RNA, 253 nt
Filed under: uncultured bacterium
Lineage: Bacteria
Description: partial 16S ribosomal RNA
Rfam family: Bacterial small subunit ribosomal RNA
Source: RNAcentral
CACGUAGGGCGCGAGCGUUGUCCGGAAUUAUUGGGCGUAAAGAGCUCGUAGGCGGCCUGUUGCGUCCGCUGUGAAAGCCCGGGGCUUAACCCCGGGUCGGCAGUGGAUACGGGCAGGCUAGAGGUAGGUAGGGGAGAAUGGAAUUCCCGGUGUAGCGGUGAAAUGCGCAGAUAUCAGGAGGAACACCGGUGGCGAAGGCGGGUCUCUGGGCCGAUACUGACGCUGAGGAGCGAAAGUGUGGGGAGCGAACAGG